CUAAAAAAUGCUGGGUUGUUUCUGUAAACACAUUGUUGGGUUGUUUAUGCUGGGUCAAAAUUCUGGGUUGUUUGGAGUACUUUAAACACACUGUUGGGUUGCUCAUGCUGGGUCAAAUGAAAUGUAGUGGGUAAUUUACAAAUGAACACAUGGUUGGGUAAAUUUGACCCAGCAAAUGGUUUAUUUUCCUUUCAUUGGCUGGCCGUUUCUCAAGGCAGCCUUCACAAUGUUCAAAAUAUUAUCAUUUAAAUAUUACCAAAUGUAGUUUUAAGAGUUUUUUAGGCGACAAUGUAUGUGUGUAAAGUUCAAAACUUCGAUCGGUUUUUGAAGAUAGCGUAUAUUUAAAAAUGUGCUCCAACGAUGUCGAAGCUUCGAGAUUCAGGCAAUCACUGGGCGCUCUGCGCUGAUGUACCCGCCCAACACAGCCUCACCUCGGCACGUCAUUCUGGAAAUCACCGCUGGCUGUAAUGUCUCUGUAGUGUUUAGAACGGCGGAUUUAUUUCAUUUCGGGUCUCAUAAAUCUAUUAUUUGUUCCUUGCCAAGUCCGAAUUAAGUUACGUUACUGUAAGGAUGCAAGUUCUGCCAUUUUUUUGUCGAACUUUCUGGAGGACUUCAUUUCCUCUGAAGCGAGGUGCACGCCACUCAAAGCGGGCAGUAUUUUAUGAGUUCAGUAGAAUCCACUGAAUUGACCCCAACAGAUCAUAUCACCAUGACAGUGGAACUUUUUUCAGCCUUUGCAGUUUGUCAGAUUUUGGAAAGCACCCCUGAGAGGAAAUCCGUAUUAAACCGUUAAAGUGCAAGCAAUUACCAACAAGCAGAGGAGGCUACUUGUGAGACUCCUUGCAUCCCAUCUGCUGGAAACCAAUGGUGAAACCUGAGCCAUCAUCAGACACUAAGAAGGCAUGUGACAAGGCAUUGGUGUAUGAAUUUCCUUGCCUGAAGGAUAUACAGCUGCUAAAGGGGAAACAGCACUGAAGAUGCCAACUCUGCUAGCUCCAUCCAUUUACAGGGGAGGAGGAGAAGUCUUCAGACCUACCACUGUGGAGGCCCAGAGGUCCUUUAUUGACAUGCAACCUGUGGGGACCAACAUGGUGGAAUAUCUGCAAAAUCAGAGAUGUUGCACGUUUUGUGACUUCGGGACGAGCCAAGAAGGACCUGCCAGACCUUUGCCAUUGUUGGAGGCAAUGCCUCUGAGACAAACUCUUUGGUGAAGGAUGUUGAUAAGUUUUUUUUGUCUUUGAUGUUAAGUACACAAAGCAAUAGGUGUGUUCGACUUCAUGCAGCGCUGCGCAGACCGAUCGGCGGCUGACUUGAAGCAGUGCAUUUUGGUUAGUACUUUUGUCCGACUUCAGCUGGCGCUGCAGGCACGUGACUGUGUCAUAUGGUUUUUAAGUACCGCGAGAGCGUUUCGAGAGUAGCCAGCUGGCUCAGCCGGUGCAGCUUCUCCAGAGCGGCUGCCCGGAGUUGUGAUGACGUAACAGCUUUACUUGAUUGGUCGCUUCAUUGAUGACAACGAUCACGUGCGUUUCAAGUUUAAUCCAACCUUUAGUUUCACUAAUAAACAUUAUAAAUUCAUGUUUUAAAACAGGAAAAAAACACUUUAAUAUCCUAAAAUAUGUUAUAUUGUGUCGUGUAAUAAAAUAAAAAUGAAAAUAACAAACUCUAUUGGUAUUUUAAUAAUAUAGGCUUGUUUCCCGUUAUUUUCGGGUAUACAGUUUAAGCAGCAAUUAAAAUAUUCGAUAUAAAAUGUUUCUGGUUGCAACUUUUUAUCAAAAGGUUUGUUUUUAUCAAAUUCAGCAUCUAAUUCACUUAAUUUGCGAUUAUAAACAAGGAAACACGGCGCACACGUCACUACGGCAAGCAGCAGGUGUCCGGCUUGACGGCUCCGUCUUCAGUUCCUCCCUCGACUGCAAGCGGCAAACCUCGUCGAUCGGUCUGCGCAGCGCCGGAUGAUCUCGAACACACCUAUUGUCUUCCCACCUGGGAGUUUCACCAGGAUGACAUUUAUCAGAUUGAUGGACACGAGUCCUCCUCUGUUAACAUUUUGAAGACAACAUUUAAUCACUAAUAAUUAACUAUUUCAGUGCUAUGUUUGAAAGAUUCGCCCACAAUGCAAUGCCAACAGGAGUUUACUUACAGGCUGUGAGGUCAAGUGGUAGGAAUUAUGAUAAUUUCGGUCUUGUCUACGUCACCAAUCCCAGGAAGUAAACUGUUGCCUACAAUCUGUGUUUGUUGUAGUCCAAGAAAAGAGAUCACUCGCAUUAUCGUUUACUUUGGGGUUUGUACCUUUUGCAUAUCGUUAACAUGAAUUAAUAAACAAUUACAUACCAAAGGAAAUGUAAAAAUGUGAAUCGGACCAUAGCUGCUCUUUAAAAAAAAAAUUGUUUCAGGGCUUCUUGUUUUUAAUAACAUUUUGAUGAAUGAAAAUGUAAAGUAAAUGAAAUGCUAAUCAUCAUAGUUUAAAUAUUAAGAGUUAUAAAGUCCGUGGGGAUUGUUUGAUGUCAUAUGGGGGUUGUAACUUUUGUAUUAUACAAAUAUACAAAAAUGUAAUUAAAACAUUGUAUUAAAUGUGAAACAAAUUAAAUGCGAUUUAAAUCACAUUAACAGGGGCCUCUCAGUUUUGUUUUACAGGGGGUAUUUGUUACAUUUAUUUUAUAUCUAACAAUUUGUCACAUUGGAAUUUUAAGGUUCAAUCUGACAUUUUUGUCACAUAUUUUUAAUCUGUAACAAUUUAUUUACAUUAUGUGAAGUUAUGUACAUUUUUGGGAUGUUUUUUAGAAAACAAAAAGGUUCUUUCCAGUAAAACAAAUGGAAUGAGACAGCAAGAGUGUUAAUUUUACCCACUGGUUGUGUCAAAUUAAAUAACCCAGCACUUGAGUAACAUUUAACCCAGCAAGAGUGUUAAUUGUACCCACUGGUUGGGUAAAAUUAAAUAACCCAGCACUUGAGUAACAUUUAACCCAGCAAGAGUGUUAAUUGUACCCACUGGUUGGGUCAAAUUAAAUAACCCAGCACUUGAGUAACAUUUAACCCAGCAAGAGUGUUAAUUGUACCCACUGGUUGGGUCAAAUUAAAUAACCCAGCACUUGAGUAACAUUUAACCCAGCAAGAGUGUUAAUUGUACCCAAAUGGUUGGGUCAAAUGAACAACCCAGAAUUCUGGGUUAAAUGGUCUAACCCAGCAGUUGGGUCAAGCCAACCCAGCGCGUGUUCUGUCCAAUAGUGACCCAGCAGUUGGGUUAUGGUUGGGUUGUUUUUUAACCCAGCAGUUUUUAGAGUGUA
Molecule: non-coding RNA, 3281 nt
Organism: Misgurnus anguillicaudatus (oriental weatherfish)
Lineage: Eukaryota; Metazoa; Chordata; Actinopteri; Cypriniformes; Cobitidae
Source: RefSeq, a predicted model, not a curated record